Molecule: ribosomal RNA, 936 nt
Filed under: uncultured organism
Description: bacterial SSU rRNA
Rfam family: Bacterial small subunit ribosomal RNA
Source: RNAcentral
AUGCGGUAUGACGGUACCCUUUCGAAUAAGAGGUUGCUAACUCUGUGCCAGCAGCAGCGGUAAUACAGAGACCUCGAGCGUUAUCCGGAUUUACUGGGCGUAAAGCGUCUGUAGGGGGUUUGUUAAGUUCCAAGUAAAAUCUUAAGGCUCAACUUUAAGUUCGCUUGGAAAACUAAUAAACUGGAGUCCAGCAGAGGUGCAUGGAACUUGCGGUGUAGGAGUGAAAUCCGUUGAUAUCGCAAGGAACACCAAAGGCGAAGGCAUUGCACUGGGCUGGUACUGACCCUGAGAGACGAAAGCGUGGGGAGCAAAACGGAUUAGAUACCCGUGUAGUCCACGCCGUAAACGAUGGAUACUAGAUGUUCGGGGAUUCGACCCCCUGGGUGUCACAGCUAACGCGUUAAGUAUCCCGCCUGGGAAGUACGGCCGCAAGGCUAAAACUCAAAGGAAUAGACGGGGAUCCGCACAAGCGGUGGAGCGUCUGGUUUAAUUUGAUAGUAAGCAAUGGACCUCACCAAGGUUUGACAUCCUAUGACAACCCUGGAAACAGGGCUUCCUUCGGGCAUAGUGACAGGUGCUGCAUGGUCGUCGUCAGUUCGUGCCGUGAGGUGUUCCGUUAAGUCGGGAAACGAACGAAACCCUCGUCGCAUGUUACAAAUUUCAUGCGAGACUGCCCGGGUCAACCGGGAGGAAGGCGGGGAUGACGUCAGAUCAGCAUGGCCCUUAUACCUUGGGCUACACAGGCGCUACAAUGGCCGGUACAAAGGGUUGCAAAGCCGCGAGGUGAAGCUAAUCCCAUAAAGCCGGUCCAAGUUCGGAUUGGAGGCUGCAACUCGCCUCCAUGAAGUUGGAAUCGCUAGUAAUCGUGGAUCAGCCAUACCACGGUGAUACGUUCCCGGAUCUUGUACUCACCGCCCGUCACACCAAGAGAGUUGG